UACGUAGGGGGCAAGCGUUGUCCGGAAUCAUUGGGCGUAAAGCGCGUGUAGGCGGCCCGAUAAGUCCGCUGUGAAAGUCCAGGGCUCAACCCUGGGAUGCCGGUGGAUACUGUCGGGCUCGAGUCCGGAAGAGGCGAGUGGAAUUCCUGGUGUAGCGGUGAAAUGCGCAGAUAUCAGGAGGAACACCAAUGGCGAAGGCGGUUCUCUGGGCCUGUACUGACGCUGAGGAACGAAAGCGUGGGGAGCGAACAGG
Molecule: ribosomal RNA, 253 nt
Filed under: uncultured bacterium
Lineage: Bacteria
Description: partial 16S ribosomal RNA
Rfam family: Bacterial small subunit ribosomal RNA
Source: RNAcentral